Molecule: long non-coding RNA, 5447 nt
Organism: Pezoporus occidentalis (night parrot)
Lineage: Eukaryota; Metazoa; Chordata; Aves; Psittaciformes; Psittacidae
Exons: 2
Source: RefSeq, a predicted model, not a curated record
UUUCCUUGUGAUGAGGACAAAUUGCCUUUUCCAAGACUGAGCCUUUGUUAACGAUUUUGAAAACCAUGUUUGAAGCAAGCUGCUUUUCUGAAGAAAGCCUGAAUAAUGGUUGCACCAACCCUACAUUCUUGUAGGUGUUGGCAAGCAACACUGCUGUAACUUUGGAAUAAAGCAGAGUAACCACCACGCUGUAGUCUGGGGAGUCAAAACUGAGAGAGAAAAAUGAAGUGUUGCUGAAGGAGCUGCAGUAAUCAGGAGAGACUGGACAUGAGCAGCUUUCUCAAAUAAAUGGUCUCAGCUCUGCAGAAACACUUUCUGGUUGAGUCUUGUGUUGCAGAAGCAGUGGGAUGGCUUAUGGGAACUGUGGCUCAGGCUUUGACCCUGAAACUGCACGUCUGGAUGGUCCAGGGUCAUUUUACUUGGAGAUGGCUGUAUCCUGUGAGCUGCUUGUGAAAACAUGUUUCCCAGCCGCCUCCUAGGGAGAUGUGGGUUGCCUCAGACAAGACCCUCUCCAGCAUCUUUAGCUUAGCAGAAAAGCUCGGUGUGAGGCUGGAUGUGAAUAAUAAACUGCUCUUUCUCAUAAAUAUACCCAUAAAUGUGUAAAUGUAUGUGUUAGUGGGAAGAUGAGGGAAGGUUAGCGCAGUGAGCACUGCUGGAGAGGUCUUACAGACUGUUGUUACCAAUUCCAGGCAUGCCUCAGUCUGGCAAAGUGACACUUCCUGUGCGCCUUGGGAAGGGAAAACUUUGAGACAGAAGAGGACAGUGCUGGACUAAGGUGGUAAGACCUGGAAAGAAGCAGCACUUGGGUAUCUUAACACAGCUCCUGUACUGAGAGGGCUACGUUAAAAAUACCUGUUUCAGAAAAAGCUUUCAGUAAGCAUUUAUUCUUAAGAGCUUGUCAGAUCAAGGCCAUAUGCAUAUGCAGAGGCUUUUUCUGAUCUAGGCAAGGAAAUAGAGGACAAGAACAGGUUUAUGGUGUGAGCUACUUAAACAUACAUUUUUGUCCUCAAGCUCUAAUUCCUGUGGCCGGAAAACAUUUUGUUGUUAUACUUCUGGUCUUGUUUAGCAUAACUACUGUUUCAAUAUGUAGAAAGUUUAGUGCUCCAAUGUCCAAGCUCCCUUCUAACACUGGCAUGUGAGGAGACCUAACCUGUGCAAGUUGUGGAUUGCUCAUGCUUUGGGUUAUUGCAAAGCUUGGUUUAUACAGGCAGCCCAGGAGUCCCCACUGCCUUGAUAGUCACCUCUGCUUGCUGCUGAGUUGCUCUCAUUUGAAUCAGUUAAAAUCUUUCUACUUGUCUGUCUUAGCCUGAACUUUCUGCUGAACACAUAUCCUGUAGGAACAGGCACUUUUCCACCCUCAGGGUGAAGGUGGUUCUCAGUUAUGGAGCUCAGCUGCUUUGCACCAGUGAAGUGCCCAGAAUGCGCCCAGGUUGUGCUAUAACUGGUGGCCAGAUCCGAUGAGCAGAUGCUGCUCUGCCUGCCCUGGCUGGCUUCAGGAGGAAUUGUGUCUGAGGGCAGGAUUUUGGCUGUGAGCCUUGAGGUGAAGAGCUGGGCUACAGAUCUGGCCGCUUGCCUGAGUGGUUUCCAGGCAGACAUUGCAUUUUUAUUGUCUUGGAUAUUCUGCUUUGGAGGUCAGUUGAGAAAGCAGAAUGGGGCUGUCACUUGGCAGAGCAGAAAGGUGCAGGCAAAAUUGAAUGUGGUGAUAUGCUGUGUAUAAUGCUGUCAGGGCAGCACCUGAGGUAGCAUCUACCUGUGCUAACCCAGAGGUAACAGCAGGCUGUUUCUGCCAAGCUCUCUUUUGUUUCCCAGGCUGUACUGACCUUACUCUUGGCAGAUGGCCACUUUCCCUGCUCCAGCCCAACCACGCCACCCGUCACGGAGAGCAACGCAAUCAGGCAAAGAGGAAAGGUGACUUCACUUUUCUGGGAAAAGCUUGAAUUUCUCAUUGCCUGCCACAAGACCUCUGGCAACGACCUUAUCUACCCUCUCCAAGUUGAGAGCACAGAAUCACCCCCUGCACUUGGCUGGGUCGCUACAAGCCACUGCUGUGCACAGAAUGGCAAUUUUGGUUGCUGUGGUUGCUUUCCCUUGAGAUAUUUCCAUCCCUACUGCCUCCAGGAGCAAUGGUGAGGCAUGUAUAAUGGGGAAUUGACAGAGGCUGAUUUACAGGGAACUUUGGGGUGUCUGAUUUGUGCUUCAUUGCUCUGGUUUGGGCAGUGACAAGGUGCCAUAAAACCAUCAGGUAGUAUAUCAGUGUACACUUUAAAGAUUUCACUGGGUACACCUCCUUUAGUACCAAUGAAACAGCUACACUGAGAUCUCUUGUACACAGCUCUUGAUGAAGUUUCCAACCCCAUGGUAUUCUUUGUAGUUGACAGAAGUGCUAAAGCACUUUUUCCUGCAGGGGCAGGUUGGCCUAGGUAUCCAGGCUACCAGUUUCUUCUACCCUCACGUCUGCAUGUUAUGCUGUCAGCUGCACCUCUUCCUCUCCCCAGCUCAGACGGAGAGUUAUUACAGCUUUUCUGCGUUCACAGCCUGUGACAGGGGUGUUCAGAGCUGUUGGUUCUUCCUUUGGAGUCACUCCUGGAAGGAAGAGGCUGUGCCUGCAGGUUGGGAGGGUUGAAGUUAUCACUGAUUGUAAAGCCUUAGAAAGAGCAAAGGGGAGGAAGAGCACUGAGAAGCCUGCUGGAGUGUGCUUGGCUCUUCAGCUGCGCCCUUUCCAGGAGUGGAUGCAGAAAGCUAUUGCCAGGGGAACGGUGGUGGUGGUUUAUGACCAGGCAGCAUAGUACCGCUGGAAGAGGCUGCCAGAGGCACAGCAGGGGAGCUGAAAAGCCACCCUGCUGUUCAGAGUUGCCACUUCCUGAUACCAGAAUGUAUCUGUGCAUCUGUGUCCAUAUCUGAUGAGAACUAAAAUCCCAACAAACAUCAAGCAGCCAGAAGGGAGACAAUUUCCUUUCCCCUUGUGAAGCAUCUCUGCAAGCCCCAGACAGUCCAGCUGCAUCCCUCCCAACUUCUUGCCUCCUCCUCAGACCUCAUUUUCCUGGGGAAAGGCCUCUACUGUUGGCCCCAUGGCUUUCUCCUAUCCCUGCACAGCAGCAUUUCAGUGAUCUGGAGGGUAGUCCAGUAUUUCAUGCUUCCUUCUGGCAGGUGCAGCCCAGAAACAACAUCCCAAGGGCACAGGGGAUGGAGGUGGUUUCCUGUCUCCAUGCUGAGGAGCACCAUGGCUCUAUCUUGCAGCCGUCACCCACACCAGUGCUUGGCUUUGCCUGGAUGGGACACUGUGAAACAGGAUGAUUCUCUGUGCUGGGCAUCUGUGGGUGAAGGUGCCUCCUGGCUCCAGCGAGCCAUAAGCUGCUCCACGGAUCUGCAGCGAUGGAUAGGGACACCAGAGGCUGUGUCACAGCAGCUUCCUUGUGCCUCCCCUCCUUCCCAAACACAGGCACCAUUUGACUUCCCUUCCCUUUCAGAUCAGUGCCCUGCAGACAUUGCAGUGGGUUAAAUUGCAGGGCAGCUAAAGAGCAUGCUUCAGGAUUAGAGAUGAAUGGGUUGAACCAUAAUCAUAGCGUACAGUAUCCAGAGUCUCGGUGGACAUUGCAAGUUGAUCACUGGCCAGAUGCAGAAGCUGUUUGGUGAGAAAGCAGUAUGUGCCAUCCUGAAGCAGAAUAUUACCCAGUGGAGUUCUCUGGGCUGAGACAAAAAUCAAAGCCCAGUGCACCAAGGGGAUGUUAGAAAUCAGUGCUGAAUGGGCCUGAUCCAGAUCUGGCCUGGAGGCUUUUGACACCCCCAUACUGAAAAGACAGUGAGCACACUCAGCAUGUAAAAGGAUUGAGUUUCCGCUUUGAAAGGGGAAGGAGUCUUCAUCUGCUGUGGUUUGUUCACAUGCUCUAGGGUUUUUGUAUUUCUUGUAACCAUUUUUGCCUUAUGGCUGUGGCUGUUCACAUAAGGAUUGGCCUCUCUCUCCUGGUUUUCAAAGUCAGAAUGCAAAGCAGUGCUGUCAGGAGAGCACUGCAGUGACUCUCAGAGCAGUAUGGUGAGGGGUGAAAGCUUCCAGAGGCAGACAGGUAUAACCUCAGUGUUACUAGUGGGAAACAUGAUUUCCUUUGGGUCCCACUGACAGCUCUGAACCCAUCUGGAUCUUACCGCUCCCUCUGCUGUCUUUGGAGUCCUCACUUCUGCCUGAAAUGAUCUGUAUGUUUCUGAACCUCUUAGCAAGGGCAGUUAUCAUUGCUAUUCUGUUGAGUGUUCAGCUUCUGGUAUAAACAGUCUCUGAUCAUAUUAGUAGGCUCUCAGGUACUUCUAUAUUACAAAUAAUAAAUAAUAAUGAGCUGCAAGGAAAGACCUCUGAGUUUUGGGCUCAGGCUGGACAUGGCUUCCACAUGAGGUGUCCACUUUAUAGCUCUUUCUGGGCUGCUGUUACUAGCAGUGCCGCAAUGCUGCUGGGGAGAGGCCUGAGAAGAGGGUCCAGCAGCCUUUGGAGAUGCUGUCAGCAGACAGGAGGAAUACACAUUUGUGUGCUGUGUCUCUGGGUUGGUGACCUUUUAAUGACUGAGUUAGAUCACACUAAGGUAAUUUGUAGGAAACCUUAAAAUAAAAUAGGAGAAUAUUGGCAUGGUUCAGCAGAUGGUAACGAGGGACUGGUUUGUGUUAUUACACACAUUACUCUGGACAAUGUGUUGGUUUGUCUUUAGCCAGCAAGGGCCCCUUUAAGAAGAGCUGGCAUUGCAGCACAGGUGACACACACAGUGAGGGGGGCUUUGCUGUGCACAGCUCUUCUGCAGCACCACAGCAAGCACCAGUGGCACUUGGUCCCUGGGGGAAGGAGAGGGCUCUCCAGAAAGCAGGGGUUAGAGCAGUCUCGUUGGGUUAUCUUCACAGACUUUUCACAGAUGAAGGAAAUGCAAGGCAUUGAAAGCAAAGCCUGUCUUCUGCUGGAAGCUGCAGGACUCUUACUUUCACAUCCUCUUGGGGAUCCUCUUAGUCCUGUGCCUUACAAGAAGCUGCUGAAGACGUGGCUCUCACAGUCAAGUGCAAAUGUGUGAAUAAGGAAAUGCUGGAGUGCAGGCAAGCAAGCUGGAGGCUCAGAGCCUAGCAGAGUGGGUCAUGCUGGGCGCAUGUGAAUGUCCUGGCUAUGCUGCUGCUCACUUGAUGGACAGCUUUUCAUGUUCCCCAAGAGGUGUGUGAAGAAUAAAAUACCUGGCUUGGCAAAAGCACGCACAUACCCCACAGCAGUGGCCAGGCAUCCUACAAAGAGACUGGAGCCAAACUCAACCCCAGCCAAGAGUCCCUGCUGUGAUUUAUCAGUCAGGCUCUGCUGGUGUGACACAGGGACAUCACCUGGGUAUUGCAGCAUUUUCCCCUCUAAAGAACAUCUCUUUGCAGACUGUUGUUGUACAAAAAGAAAAAUGAAAGAUGGAAAUGGCUUUUCCUUGGGGAAAAAAAAAAAGAAA